UACGUAGGGUGCGAGCGUUGCCCGGAUUUAUUGGGCGUAAAGGGCGCGUAGGCGGCUCUGCACGUUCGUUGUGAAAUCGCCCGGCUCAACUGGGCGGGGUCAGCGGAUACGGCAGAGCUUGAGCAAGCUAGGGGGCAAUGGAAUUCCCGGUGUAGUGGUGAAAUGCGUAGAGAUCGGGAGGAACACCAGAGGCGAAGGCGGCGACCUGGACAGUGACUGACACUCAACUGCGAAAGCGUGGUGAGCAAACAGG
This 253-nucleotide ribosomal RNA is filed under the name uncultured prokaryote. RNAcentral's name for it is "partial 16S ribosomal RNA". It matches the Rfam family "Bacterial small subunit ribosomal RNA", at positions 524 to 776 of the family's 1533-position model. The record is from RNAcentral.